Rattus norvegicus (Norway rat) is the source of this 2381-nucleotide non-coding RNA. Lineage: Eukaryota; Metazoa; Chordata; Mammalia; Rodentia; Muridae. The record is from RefSeq and is a predicted model, not a curated record.
ACAGUGACCAGGCAGUGUCCCUGCUGGAGGUGAAAGAAAUUCCUGAUACCAACAGAGGGGUCUAGGGAGGGAAUUACACAGCUUCACAGUUGAAGAAGGUGAGGGAUUUGCUAGCACUGCCCGUGUGGUCCUGAAGAAACUUAGAACAGAAACAACCUUACAGCUCUAAGUGGGAGCUUCUUAGACACAAAUCCCAGAUAAGAAUUGGGGCAAAAAUCCCUACUUCAGUGCUUAGGAGGAUAUAAGAGGUUUCUCUGCUUUAAUUUUUUUUUUUAGGUUCAAAGGUUUGGGUGUGUGUCCAUAGGGUUCUUGUGUGUCUGAAGGCUUGAUCAUUGGAGUAAGGCGACUGAAGGGUAGCAAUACCUUAAGAGGUGGAGCCUAAUGCUAGAUGGGGCUCCAGGAUUUUCACUUGCUACCAAGUGUAAGCAGUUUUGUUCAAACAUGAUCUCUUGCUGGGAUAGGCCCACCCACAGACCACUGAAGAUGGAGCCAUGGGGAGGUGACUGGAGAAAGUCGUGGGUAUAAGCUAUGAGUCACGGUCAACCUGUUCUAAACGGAUGGCUCAGGGACUUUGUUCUGGAGACAGAAAGACUUGAAUACUGAUGUGGCCGGAACCUCAGAGUCACCUGGACUCAAAGUUACAGAAGCUAAGAGGUUCCCCCCAGCUGCCAGCUGCUAUUGCUGGGGGCUUCUGCCAAGGAGGACGUCUCUGUGUGGAGAGGCUUUGAGUGCUUGCAGCAGGACAGACUAUUUCAAAGGAAAUUCAGCAGGGUUUACCUCUCAAAUCGCCCACAAUUAACUGCUGGGUUCUUCAAAUAAACUGCAAAUUCCAGAAAGAUCCACAACAAAGGCCAUAAGCUUCCACCCUGGAGAGGGCUGUGCACAGUGAGGCAUCCAGACGUUACGAGAUAUGUUGCUUGUUGAUUUUACCCAAAGUCAGGAAAUGUGCAAUGACGGUCAGGAUGUAAGUUAUGGCUCUGCACCCUUUAUUUAUUUGGAAGUCUUCACCGUGAACCCCAACAAAUAGACUUGUGUGUACUAAUAAGGCAAAAUGUUGAAUAAGUAGUGCAAAAUAGAACCAAACAAAAACCUAUCCCUCAAACAAGAUGCCAGCUGAAGAGGCUGACUCUUCUGCUGGGUCGCUUGAGGUGGCUUCCUUCCCUGUCAGUAAAAGAAGGCCAGACCCGUGACAGAAAAUUCACUUCUUGUUUUACCCUUUCCCAUUAAAUGGCCAAAGUUUCUUUAAAGGCCAUGGAUUAUCUGAAAAAUUAUCCAAAUUGACUGUUAGGGUCAGGGGGUCUCAGAGUGGGAGUAAUUUUGCCUCCGAGGAAAAAGAUCAUGGAGACAUUUUGGGUUGUCCCCAUGCUGGGGUGAAGUGGAGGGCAUGUGUUCUGUGUAUCCGAUGAUUUGAAGCCAGAAAUGCUGGUGAGUCACCACAAUGCCUAGAGAAGUUCCUAAGGCACAGAGCCUAAGACCCACAAUUUCUGGAACAGGUCUUACGGUUUUGAACCCGACAUCCACAGUGCCUGGACCAAUACCCAAGUCUACACCCUAAGAUGUAAGAUGUGCAUGACAGUCCAUGCGGUGCGGAACUAAAACUCUCAGAUGCGAAUGAGUGAGAGUGAGAAGCCCAGACAGAGCGUAGAAAGGCCUGGAUUUAUUCUAAAUAAUGUGGGACCUGUUAAAAAACAAAUCACAGACUGCCUAUGCAAAGGCACGCUGAUUCCUUUCCCUGGAUACGCCUCAGAGUGACCUGACCAUGUCAUUUCUUCCCUCCGGAAUACAAGAUCAUCGCUCUCAUCAUGGCUACUGUCACCAUCAGGAACUGGACUCGGGCUCUGUCUCUGGGCUAAGUCACAGAUCCACCAUUUCUUUAUGGACGCACGGCAGUUGCUUGGGCUGUCUCUGAGCCUCCCUCCCUCUGUCGCCAAUAGGACUACCUCAGUGGCCUGUGAGCUGAUGCGCUCAUGAAACUUUUCUAGACAGCCAAGAGGAAGAGAAGAAUAAAGUCUAAAACACUUAAAACCCUCACCCGGCCACAGGACCUGACUCCAGCUGUGUCAGCCUCGACUUGUGUCAACACAUCUCAGAUUCCCGUCUGCACUCUUCCAGGAAACAUGCCAUCAUUCUUCCUACGUGUUAUUCAUUGUCGCAGGCCCUUCCCAUUGGCUGCCUGAUAGGUCUCAAACAAUAUAAAAAUGUAAUGAGAACAGAACAGCCAUACCACCUCUCUGCCUGGUGAAACCAGUGCCUUUAUUCCUGAAAGGUGACCUUCAAACUCUAUCUUUGAUCAUUAAACUCCAUUCAUUCCGACAAAUGCACCUGAAAAGUUUAUUUCACCAUGAAAUGCCUCUUUAUUCUUCAAAUAAAAAUAAAUAAAC